CAGCCGCCACGGUAAUACAGAGGGUGCGAGCGUUAAUCGGAUUUACUGGGCGUAAAGCGUGCGUAGGCGGCUUUUUAAGUCGGAUGUGAAAUCCCUGAGCUUAACUUAGGAAUUGCAUUCGAUACUGGGAAGCUAGAGUAUGGGAGAGGAUGGUAGAAUUCCAGGUGUAGCGGUGAAAUGCGUAGAGAUCUGGAGGAAUACCGAUGGCGAAGGCAGCCAUCUGGCCUAAUACUGACGCUGAGGUACGAAAGCAUGGGGAGCAAACAGGAUUAGAGACCCGUGUAGUCCCUGUCUCUUAUAA
This 301-nucleotide ribosomal RNA is filed under the name uncultured bacterium. Its description in RNAcentral is "partial 16S ribosomal RNA". It matches the Rfam family "Bacterial small subunit ribosomal RNA", at positions 509 to 809 of the family's 1533-position model. The record is from RNAcentral.